RNAcentral lists this ribosomal RNA (250 nucleotides) under uncultured bacterium. RNAcentral describes it as "partial 16S ribosomal RNA". It matches the Rfam family "Bacterial small subunit ribosomal RNA", at positions 524 to 773 of the family's 1533-position model. The record is from RNAcentral.
UACGGAGGGUGCAAGCGUUGUUCGGAUUUAUUGGGCGUAAAGCGCGUGUAGGCGGUUUCUUAAGUCUGAUGUGAAAGCCCUGGGCUCAACCCAGGAAGUGCAUUGGAUACUGGGAGACUUGAAUACGGGAGAGGGUAGUGGAAUUCCUAGUGUAGGAGUGAAAUCCGUAGAUAUUAGGAGGAACACCGGUGGCGAAGGCGGCUACCUGGACCGAUAUUGACGCUGAGACGCGAAAGCGUGGGGAGCAAAC